Molecule: ribosomal RNA, 382 nt
Filed under: uncultured methanogenic archaeon
Lineage: Archaea; Methanobacteriati; Methanobacteriota
Description: bacterial SSU rRNA
Rfam family: Archaeal small subunit ribosomal RNA
Source: RNAcentral
UCGACUAGCAUGCGAGUCAGGUGUCUUCGGACGCCGGCAUACGGCUCAGUAACACGUAGGAACCUACCCUCAGGACUGAGAUAACCCCGGGAAACUGGGGCUAAUAUUAGAUAGAUAAAAGAUACUGGAAUGUUCUUUUAUCCAAAGCUUUUGCGCCUGAGGAUGGGCCUGCGUCCGAUUAGGUUGUUGGUGGGGUAAUGGCCCACCAAGCCUGCGAUCGGUACGGGCAGUGGGAGCUGAAGCCCGGAGUUGGGGACUGAGACAAGUCCCCAGGCCCUACGGGGCGCAGCAGGCGCGAAACCUCUGCAAUGCGGGAAACCGUGACAGGGGGAUCCCAAGUGCUCAUGCAUUGCAUGGGCUGUUCUUUGGCUAGUACCGAGGA